RNAcentral lists this long non-coding RNA (3018 nucleotides) under Phocoena sinus (vaquita). Its description in RNAcentral is "lncRNA (ENSPSNG00000009481.1)". The record is from RNAcentral. Lineage: Eukaryota; Metazoa; Chordata; Mammalia; Artiodactyla; Phocoenidae.
ACUUCCCGCGAGUGUGCCACGUCAGAGGAGGUUGUAGCCGAGCCGGAGACGGAUCCCCGGGUCGGAGCUGUACGGGAUGGCGGACUGGGCUCGGGCUCAGAGCUCCGGCGCUGUGGAGGAGAUUCUAGACCGGGAGAACAAGCGGAUGGCUGACAGCCUGGCCUCCAAGGUCACCAGGCUCAAAUCGGUCAGUGGUAGUCCUCUCCUUUUGCCUCCACCUAGCAUCCUGGAGGGGGUAUCGGAGGGAGGGUGAAGACCUGGAAGGGUUUCAGGUAGUUCCAUCAUCCUUGUCCCAUCUGUGGCACACUCACUUGUGUGCGGCCCAGGUGGCAUUUGGAUCUCCUGACCUCUGCUGGUCUUGCUGGGGGUCAGGUGCUGUCCGCUGUGUUUGUCCUGGCCUGACCCUGCCUCUUCUGUGUUCUGACCAGCUGGCCCUGGACAUUGAUAGGGACGUGGAAGAGCAGAACCAGAGCCUGGGCGGCAUGGUAAGGCCCGUGUUUUGCGAGUGUCACGGUCACCUCUGCUCCCCACCGCCUGCUGUGCAGCCCCCACGUGUGUGUGUGUUGUGGGGUCGCUGCCCCUGUGUGACGAUGAUGGGAUUCCUUCCUCAGGACACAGAUUUCACGAGUGUGACGGGCCUCCUCACAGGGAGCGUGAAGCGCUUUUCCACAAUGGCACGGUCUGGGCGAGACAACCGGAAGCUUCUGUGUGGUAUGGCCGUGGGCCUGAUCGUGGUCUUCUUCAUCCUCUCCUACCUCCUGUCGAGGCCAAGGACGUGAGCCAGUGGGAGCUGGCUUCUGCGGGUGCCUCGGGCAAGCAUGGUCCGCCUCUGCCUGGCGUCCCGGGCCAGAGAACUUAACGACAAAAUACUCCUUUGAAACGACGAUUGUGGCUUAGGAAUCUUGUUCCUGUGUGGCUGGGAGCCUCUGACCCAGUGAGCUUGUGUUAGCUGGUCCCAUGUGUGCAAGGGGCCCAUCUUCAUGGGGUAGCCAAGGCCCACUUUCUCUGCCACCUUGGGUGCUAGAAGCCCCAGCAGAGUAAGGUCCAAGCAGAGCAGCUGGGAAUCCUGGACACGGUCACCUGUGAACAGCAGCUCUUCCCCUGGCCCUCGAGUUUCUGAACAUCUCAAGGCUCUUCUACGCUGUUCUUGUCUGGAUAAGGCCACGUCUGGUAUUUGAGAUGCUUGGAGCUGACGUGGGAAGGGGGUGUGGCGGUGAACCUCAGAUCAUCGCUGUCACCUUCAGCCGAGUGUUCUCAACCAGAGAUGGCAGUUGCUCCUGCCCAGAGCCGCUGGGCAUCCGUGGACCAGUGGAGUCAAGGGUCCUGCCGAGAGGCCUCUUCCUGCCUUCCAGUCCCACAACUGAAGCCCGACCCUCAGGAAGGGCAGGGGUUGUGGAUGGAGUUGGGAACUGCAGCCUUCGCUGAAAGCAUGGGCUCACAUUCUGGUGAUCUCCCGGCCAUGUAUCCAGGUGCAGAAAGUGAUACUUUCUCACGAUUCAAGAUCUACCCAGAGCACCAGAGAUCUACUUCCAGGAGACCAGAUCUCUGGAAACAAGUCCAUCUGGCAUUUCAGAGUCAGGCAGGGUGUGAGGAGGGACUUUCGUGGGUAUAGAUGGAGGCUUCCAAGUAAGGGCUCUUCAUAGGACCUGUAGGUCAGUUUCUGAGGGUCAGCGAGCAGUUCCCACCAAGCCUGGCCCUUCCACUGUGGUGUUUGCCCACCUCUCCCUGGGCCCUCAGCGCCCACUCGGUCAGUCCCCUGCUCACAUCGAACCUCGAACUGAACCACAGGCCGAGCCAGACCAGUGGCUUCUUACCCCACUGAGACCUCAGUAUCCUUGUCUUCACAAGAAACACUUGUAAGAAACGAGUCACCGGCUGUGUCCUUCCCUACCCUUGUUCGAACCUUCUGGUUCCUAGUCAGCCCCCCUUACUCCUGAGGGCUACUGGCUCACCGUCCGCCUCCCCACACGCUCGUGCCACGCGCGGUCACGCGCGCCAGCCGCAUCUGCUGCCCCAUGUUGCUGGUCUCUGGCCCCGGGCACCGCGCCUCUGGUGCCGCUGCUGCGCCUGCCCUCGUCCUCCGCCCAGCAGGCUGGCUUCACCUUGCACGCUUGCCUUGGUGCCCUCCCUUCCACUGUACCUGCGACCUGAGUGCGCCGUCUCGUCCAGUGUGUGCUUGUGUCUCCCCCGGUGAGACUGCCUUGCUUGUCUCCGUGUCUCUGGGGCUUGGCUGUUUCCCUGUCCUCCUGGACGUUCCUUCGCAGGUCUCUGGCCCUGCCUUGACCCCCAGCGCCCUGUGCGCUGCGGCUUUGGCUUCGCCUGCUUCUCGUCUCACACUGAACCUUGUCGCGGGCCUUUGUCCUCCGGUCACCAGGCUCAACAGCUGCUGCCUGUGCAGUGUCUCCCUCUGGUUGCCGCAGGCCCUGCAGAUGCGCCCAGACCUGAGGUCCGCGGCCCCCACCUUGUCUGGGCCUGCUAACCUUGCUUCCUGAGAACGUGGCUCAGCCGUGGCAGCCUUCCCCCCGCAGAUGCUUUUAUGUGGUGUGCCCCCUUGUCUUGCCAAGGCAGCCAGGAAUUUAGAGUUUGCCUUCAGGGUGGCACCCCGGCUGCUGUGUUCUCUCCUCAGGUCUCCGUCUGUGCCUCCCCACUUCUCCACCUCCACGGCUCUUUGCAGCCCUUCCAGCUAUUUGGGGGUCUGGGCUCUAGUUUCUUUCUGGUUUACUUUCUUGCUUCCUACUCUCAUCGUGUUAGGUGAAUUCCUGAAGGAAGCACGGCACCCCUGCUGCCGCUGUGUCGGCAGGGUUUCCUGUGGGGCCUUCCCUGCUCAGCCCUGUACACUGAGCACCUAAUCCUGUGGGUAAGUGGGGUUUGCCGAGGUUGAUCCCUGAGACCAUAAAACAGAAGGACUUGGAGCCUCCCUCUGUGCCAGGUGAGGAUGAACUGCCAGGUUCUAUCCCAUAAUUCAUGGACAACACAUUUAGCAAUAAAAAUUUGGAAUAAAGAGCUUCGUGAUGAAGU